GAGUUUGAUCGUGGCUCAGAUUGAACGCUGGCGGUAUGCUUAACACAUGCAAGUCGAACGGUAACAGGCUAGCUUGCUAGCGCUGACGAGUGGCGGACGGGUGCGUAACGCGUAGGAAUCUGCCUAUUAGUGGGGGACAACCUGGUGAAAACCAGGCUAAUACCGCAUACGCCCUACGGGGGAAAGCAGGGGGAUCUUCGGACCUUGCGCUAAUAGAUGAGCCUGCGUUAGAUUAGCUUGUUGGUGAGGUAAUGGCUCACCAAGGCGACGAUCUAUAGCUGGUCUGAGAGGACGAUCAGCCACACUGGGACUGAGACACGGCCCAGACUCCUACGGGAGGACAGCAGUGGGGAAUAUUGGACAAUGGGCGGAAGCCUGAUCCAGCAAUACCGCGUGUGUGAAGAAGGCCUGA
This 412-nucleotide ribosomal RNA is filed under the name uncultured microorganism. RNAcentral's name for it is "bacterial SSU rRNA". It matches the Rfam family "Bacterial small subunit ribosomal RNA", at positions 9 to 419 of the family's 1533-position model. The record is from RNAcentral.